Molecule: long non-coding RNA, 3234 nt
Organism: Felis catus (domestic cat)
Lineage: Eukaryota; Metazoa; Chordata; Mammalia; Carnivora; Felidae
Exons: 8
Source: RefSeq, a predicted model, not a curated record
CCAAGUUUAUGUGAAGCCACUUUCUAACAGUCUAACUCCUUUUUGGCCACAGAAGUCAUCUUACCAUUUCUUAAUCCAUUGUUUACAAAUCCAGAGCAUCUUGAAUUAAAAAAGAUCAGGAAUCCUUGAGAAAGAACACUGCAAUGCCAGCACAAAAGGAAAACAGAGAGAUAUUUCAGAAAGGGGUUGGGUCAGAGUGAUUCAAAGCAUAAGGAAUUCAUCAGCCAUUGCUGGCUUUGAAGGUGAAGGAGGUCAUGAGCCAGAGUAUGCAGGUGGCAUCUACAAGCCAAAAAUAACCCCUGGAUGAAAGCCAGUGAAGAAAUGGGGACCUCAGUCCAACAAGUACAUGGAACUAAAUUCUGCCAGCCAUUGGAAUGAUCCUUGAAGCAGCAUCUUGAUUUUAGCCUGGUGAGACCCUUAGAAUUCUAACCUACUGGUUGUGAGAUAAUGAAUGGUAUUGUUUUAAACUUCUAAAUAUGUGGUAUUUUGUCACAUCUCCAAGAGAAAACUGAUAGCACCACCCAGAACAUUCUUGUGGAUUACUAGUCAUGAUGGGCUUGAGGAGAGUUGAGGUCAGGUGAUACAUGGAGUUUUGGUAUAAGACUAUGUCAUAGUGGGCCUAUGAGAUGUGAAAACACAGCCCUCCCAUUAUUUGUUCUAUUUCCUAAGUAUAUGAUUGAAUUAGGCAUUCUCAGCAAUUUCAAAAAUAGUAUGAAGAUUGUCAAGGAAGAAGAGUCAAGUGGUAGAUCGUGGAAUACCAGUUCCCUACCAAAAUGAGAUAAGCUGUCUUUGCUUUAUUCACUGAUGUAUCCUAGUGCCUGAUACAUAGUAACCAUCAACAAUUAUUUAUUGAACUCACUGGUACAGUAUGACUUUUAUUCCUGUAUCAAAAUUGGCGAACUGAACCUAAAAUUCAUACAGAAAUAUAAGGAACCCAGGCUAGCCAAAAAAUGUCCACAAAGGAAUAAAGCUGGAGAACUCACACUUUCUGAUUUCAAAACUUACUACAGAGCUGCAACAAUCAAGACAGUGUAGUAUUGUAAAAUAAACAUCUAGAUCAACAGAAUAUAAUUGAGAGCUGAGGAAUAAACCUUUACCUUCAUAGUGAAUUGAUCUUCAACAAGGUGCCAACACAAUUCAAUGGGGGAAAAGACUCUUUUCCGCAAAUGGUGCUGGACAACUAGAUACCCACAUUCAAAAGAAUGAGUUUGGGCCCUAUUCUCACUCCAUUUGUGAAAUUUAAGCUCAAGAUGGAUGAGUGAAUAAAGCGCAAGAGCUAAAACAUGAAAUCUUAGAAGAUAAUACAAGAACAAAUCGUUAUGAUUUUGGGUUGGUCAAUGAUGUCUUAGAUAAAAUCAAAAAAGCACAAGCCAUAAAAGAAAAACAAAAGUUGGACGUCAGAAUUAAAAACUUUUGCUUCAAAUAGUACCCUCUAUGAAGUGAAAAGACAACUUACAGAUGGGGAGAAAAUAUUUGCAAAUCAUAUAUUGAAUAAGAGACUUGUAUAUAUGAAGAAUUCUUGCAACAAGAAAACAACCCAAUUGUCAAAGGACUUGAAUAGAAAUUUCUCCAAAGAUGAUAGAAGAAUGAUUAACAUGCACAGGGAUGUAUGUGGAACAACAUGAGUCAUUAGGGAAAAGGUACAUCAAAACCACAAUGAAAUACUACUUCAUGAGUACUAUAAAGUCUACAGUCAAAAAGGCAAUAGCAAGUACAGAUGAGAGUAGGGAAUUAGAACUCUCGUAUAUUUCUGGUGGGAAUGUAAAAGGGGGCAGCCCCUUUGGCAAAUACUUGGGCAGUUUAUCAAAAUGUUAAACAUAGAAUUACCACAGGGUCCAGCAAUUCUGCCUCUAGGUAUCUACCCAGGAAAAAUGAAAACAUGUUUACCAAAGACUUGUACAUGAAUGCGCAGAGUAAUAUUAUUCAUAAGAGACAAAAAGUGGAACAACCGAAAUAUGCAUCCAUUGAUGAAUGGAUAAACAAAAUAUGUUAAAUCCAUACAAUGGAAUCCUAUUGGUCAACAAAAAGGGUCCACAUACUGAUACAUGUAGCAAUGUGGAUACAUUUCCAAAACAUUCUUCUGAAUGAAAGAAGUCAGACACAGAAGACCGCCUACUGUGUCAAGAGAGAAGGAAGAAAAAGAGGGAGGAAAGAAAGAUCAAGGAAAGAAAGAGAAAGAAGAGAGGGAAGAAGGACCGAAGGAAAGCCGACCAGGAAAAAAAAGUGCUUCUAUCAAUUUGGUUACUUCUUCAAAGAAUAUGAAAAGUCUCCAACAAAAGUAUACAAGACUUUAUUAUUUUGCUGAAGAAAUGGAUAUGUUCAGCCUGCUAUUUGGGGCAGGACUUCAAGGACUGGAAUGAAAGACACAACCCUUUUCGGAUAUGGAAUCCUUGGAUGAAAUGUGCUUUGAACAAAAUUCUUUCUCCGUUUAGUUUGACACUACUCAGCCUUGUAAUAGGCCAAGCCAUGGAUUCCUUUGCAACCUGCCUGUGAAAAAGACAUCACCUGGUUACUUCAGAGCUCUGCUCCCUUCCUGUUAAGGAUGCAGAGUUGACUCUUGGCACAACGAAGCUUAGAGAAACCUGGAAUGUUUUAUGGAUGCUGUCUGGCAGUUUUGAUUCAGAACUAGAGGAAGACCAACAGCAAAACAAGCUGGUCCCAGGUCAGCUGAAAAAAGAGCUCACCAGUAAGAUGGACUCCAGAAGAGAUAAGCACCAUGUAGGAGAAUUUUCCAGGUUUUGAUUACCUGCCACUCUGGCAGCUACCCUUUUUUCUAUUAACUCCACAACGUGUGACUCGGAAGAGAAAAAUAUCUUGUGUGGGCUCACCUACCGAAUCAGUAUGAAGUGUAACUCUACGGCAUGCGGAUGUCUUCUAUCUGGAGAAACUUGGAUACCACAGGUAAUUACUGUACUGUUCUCCAAGCCUUUUUUUCAUCUAGGAGGGCUUGAGGCACUGUCUGCACUGUGUCAGUGCUUUUGGGAGUCUGGAUUGCUAGGUAAACUUUUGUAUGUGUCCUUAGAACCGGUUGAUGGCUUAAAUUCGUGAAUUCACUCAGUUCUUGGGGUCCUCUUGGGAGAGUUCUUUCAUUUUGGGUUUCCUUUCAUUUCUCCUUUCUCCUUUCCUUUCCUAUGUGUUCACUCCCAACAUUAUUAUAACUCUCUUUACCUAAGUGUGAAUCUUCUUAAAAAUUAUUUUAAUUAUUUUUAUAUAGUUAAGAUUUUCUUUUUAAGA